RNAcentral lists this microRNA precursor (104 nucleotides) under Marmota monax (woodchuck). Lineage: Eukaryota; Metazoa; Chordata; Mammalia; Rodentia; Sciuridae. The record is from RNAcentral.
AGUGGGAUAACUGGGUCAAAUGGUGGUUCCAUUCCAAGUUUUAUAAGGAAUCUCCACACUGCUUUCCCAGAUUGGUUGUACCACUUUGCAGUCCCACCAGCAUU